This 1426-nucleotide ribosomal RNA is filed under the name Klebsiella variicola subsp. variicola. RNAcentral describes it as "bacterial SSU rRNA". It matches the Rfam family "Bacterial small subunit ribosomal RNA". Lineage: Bacteria; Pseudomonadati; Pseudomonadota; Gammaproteobacteria; Enterobacterales; Enterobacteriaceae. The record is from RNAcentral.
UUAGGCAGCUACACAUGCAAGUCGAGCGGUAGCACAGAGAGCUUGCUCUCGGGUGACGAGCGGCGGACGGGUGAGUAAUGUCUGGGAAACUGCCUGAUGGAGGGGGAUAACUACUGGAAACGGUAGCUAAUACCGCAUAAUGUCGCAAGACCAAAGUGGGGGACCUUCGGGCCUCAUGCCAUCAGAUGUGCCCAGAUGGGAUUAGCUAGUAGGUGGGGUAACGGCUCACCUAGGCGACGAUCCCUAGCUGGUCUGAGAGGAUGACCAGCCACACUGGAACUGAGACACGGUCCAGACUCCUACGGGAGGCAGCAGUGGGGAAUAUUGCACAAUGGGCGCAAGCCUGAUGCAGCCAUGCCGCGUGUGUGAAGAAGGCCUUCGGGUUGUAAAGCACUUUCAGCGGGGAGGAAGGCGGUAAGGUUAAUAACCUUGUCGAUUGACGUUACCCGCAGAAGAAGCACCGGCUAACUCCGUGCCAGCAGCCGCGGUAAUACGGAGGGUGCAAGCGUUAAUCGGAAUUACUGGGCGUAAAGCGCACGCAGGCGGUCUGUCAAGUCGGAUGUGAAAUCCCCGGGCUCAACCUGGGAACUGCAUUCGAAACUGGCAGGCUAGAGUCUUGUAGAGGGGGGUAGAAUUCCAGGUGUAGCGGUGAAAUGCGUAGAGAUCUGGAGGAAUACCGGUGGCGAAGGCGGCCCCCUGGACAAAGACUGACGCUCAGGUGCGAAAGCGUGGGGAGCAAACAGGAUUAGAUACCCUGGUAGUCCACGCCGUAAACGAUGUCGAUUUGGAGGUUGUGCCCUUGAGGCGUGGCUUCCGGAGCUAACGCGUUAAAUCGACCGCCUGGGGAGUACGGCCGCAAGGUUAAAACUCAAAUGAAUUGACGGGGGCCCGCACAAGCGGUGGAGCAUGUGGUUUAAUUCGAUGCAACGCGAAGAACCUUACCUGGUCUUGACAUCCACAGAACUUUCCAGAGAUGGAUUGGUGCCUUCGGGAACUGUGAGACAGGUGCUGCAUGGCUGUCGUCAGCUCGUGUUGUGAAAUGUUGGGUUAAGUCCCGCAACGAGCGCAACCCUUAUCCUUUGUUGCCAGCGGUUAGGCCGGGAACUCAAAGGAGACUGCCAGUGAUAAACUGGAGGAAGGUGGGGAUGACGUCAAGUCAUCAUGGCCCUUACGACCAGGGCUACACACGUGCUACAAUGGCAUAUACAAAGAGAAGCGACCUCGCGAGAGCAAGCGGACCUCAUAAAGUAUGUCGUAGUCCGGAUUGGAGUCUGCAACUCGACUCCAUGAAGUCGGAAUCGCUAGUAAUCGUAGAUCAGAAUGCUACGGUGAAUACGUUCCCGGGCCUUGUACACACCGCCCGUCACACCAUGGGAGUGGGUUGCAAAAGAAGUAGGUAGCUUAACCUCGGAGCGCUACCACUUGG